Long non-coding RNA from Papaver somniferum (opium poppy), 3664 nucleotides. RefSeq lists it as uncharacterized. The transcript is spliced from 5 exons. The record is from RefSeq and is a predicted model, not a curated record. Lineage: Eukaryota; Viridiplantae; Streptophyta; Magnoliopsida; Ranunculales; Papaveraceae.
CUCAUCGAGGAUUUGUGAAGAUCUCCAUAGCAAAACUUCCAAAAAAGUCCAACAACUUUCAUAGCAGAAUCAACAAACUGGAAGCUAAAUCCUUUAUUCAUUGAAAUCAGAUUCUUUUUUGUUGUUUACCAAUAGAUAAAGUGUUUUAGUUUGUGCUUUUUGAGGCAACUCAGAAUCGGGAAGAAGAAGAUGAUGAAGAGGAAUAAAACGAAGAAGAUUGUAAAUCUACUGGUGCUGCUAUUUCCGAUUGUGCGAGGUCAGUAGCUAUCUCACUUGGAAUAUCAGCUUAAAAAUAAUCAUGCACAGAGUUAGCUGAUGGAUCUUGCACAUCUGUCCUUAUGAGUUGGACCUUCGAGCCUCUUGAGUCCCUGGAUGACGUGCUGCUGAGCAUUACAGUUGGGACACCUGUUGCAACUUCGAAUCCAUGAACUGGCUUAAUGGAUUGAUCUCACAUAACAUAUUGAACAAGGAGACUUGAAUCAACCUGGUACCGUCAAUUGGCCCACUGGAUUUAGUUUUCCUGCUCUCUGGUGAUCACUCAUUGUGUACCGAAUCCCCUCAUGGUCGAGGUAUAUAUAAAUAUUUAAAUUUUCAGUUCAUUUCGAGUUCAGUGAGUAACUAUUACAUUUAAAUUUGAGAUAUUUUGUAAAAGGGUCAUAUGUUUUAUGCCUAAUUAGGGUCUGGGUCCUAAAACAUGCAGUUGAUGCGUUAGGGUCGUAGACUACCUUUGACCGUUUGAAAACUUUACCAAAGUGCCUUAUUAAAUUGUAAUAUUGCCAUUAUAUCCUAACCAUGUUUAACCCCCGUGAAAACUUGAAGCACUGACUAAAUAUUAAAUAUUAUACCCUUACUAAAUAGUUGUGGAUGAUGAAAAUGUGCGUAUGGUUAGAGAUCUUCUUUAUCUUCCAUCCCCUCUUUUCAGCCAUUACCAUACCGUAUCCACUCCACUGUAAACCAGAAACACCACUACUGUACUUAGAAACUAGCAUAUCUUUCUUCAACUGAUAAAUCUUCAAUAUGAUUAUAGAUUCAUCAUCGCGGAGGAAGUAAGUGUGUCUGAUAUUUCUCAACCGAUUCUGCGAACCUUAAUAAAAGUCCCUAAAUGAAAUCCGUAGUUCUGGUAAGGUCCAUUUGUGAGAGGAUCAGAGGAGUGUUGCGGAGCUUGUAAUGAUUGGGUAAUUUGAGUUACGAAAUAUGGAUUUCCUAAGCUCUUUCAUCUCAAACCUGGGAAAUUAAAAAACAGUUUAAGUUUUAUUUUUGUUUAAUUGAUAAUUGUUAGUGUUUGUGUUGUUAUAUGCAAUCUAUAUCAAUGGGUUUUGUUGAAUUGUGGACUAGUUGAUUUUCCUAGUUGAUUUUAAUGGAAUAGGCAUUUGCCAUUUGAUUUAGUUUUUUUAUGAAUUCAGUUGAUUAAUUGGAACAUAUGAUGGGAGUGACUUUAAUUUUUUUAAUGUUGUUUUGUUGAAUCACUACUUUGUUGAUUGAUUAAAUGAGUUCGGGAAGACUUGUUGAUUGAUUAAUUGAGUUCAGGAAGACGGAAGAAGAUAGAAGAGAGCGAAGUGUGGGUUUUAACAAUACUCUAACAGUCACCACGAGUCAACCGAUGGUCAGGGUGUAUCGUAUAGAAAAAAAUCUGCUAACAGUUUUGUAACAGUCUUCGUUAGUCUACGACCUAAAUGCAGCAAUUGCAUGUUUCACGACCCAGACCCUAAUUAGCUACUAAAUAUACGACCCUUCUACAAAAUAACUCAAUUUUUUUUUCCCAAAUGUUUACAAGGUUACGGCUUCCUCGAAUUUUGUAUGUUUAUAUUUUAGGAUGUGCUAUCUGAAGCUUUAAAUUUAUAAGGAAUCUACGCGCAAUUGUUAUUUGAUAAGCUUUGAAUUUAUAUUAAAUCUACAUGCAAUUGUUAUUUCAUAAAUACUGGAAAAAAAAAAUCUCUUAUCGUUGUCUGUCUUAUAAUUUGUGUAUUUUAUGUAUACUAAUUUGUGUAUUUUAUGUAUCCAAAAGACUUUUUGCUGCAUAUUCUUAUCAAACUAUUCGUACCUUGCCUCCUUUCUUAGUAAGGUAUUUUGUUUGGUCUUGAGUGUUCUGCUUUGUAUUGCUUUUAGGCAUAAGACUUCUUUUGCUGUUGUUGUUUGGAGUAUUAAAUAGGUACUUUAGCUUUCGAAAUAUGGGCUUUCAAUGUUUACUUAUACUUCUGAAAUCCGACUGCUCUUUGUCUCAUGCUUUUAUCUAACUCAUAUAUAGAUAGUGAUGAGUAAAGAUUUGAAACUUGAAGUUCCAAGCCAUAUGACUCAUACACAAAUAAUACACAAUUCAUUGAUAUGGAUCUAUAUUUCGAUUGAGGACCAUGCUACGACCCAUUUCAAAAACUAAAUGUACGAAGUUAUUUAAAAGACGCCUUUGUAUAUAAUUUUCUUUGAUCAUUUAUUUAACCCAUAGACAUUGCCCCGACUGAAAAGUUCAAAAUUUGGCUGCCAGAAGAAACGGUUGCAGUGUUUUCUUGCAGGUUUUUGCCAAGUCAAGUCAAUUACAUGGGUUCUCUGCUGGGUCAUGUUCUACUGUUGGAACUGGUGGUCAUAUUUCUAGAGGUGGAUAUGGUCUUUUAUGAAGAAAAUAUGGUCAUGCUGCAAUUUCUAUUGGAUGUCAAUGGAUGCAACUAAUGAAUCGUCUGAUCUGAACAAAAACGGAGGAAGUCUUGCAAGAAAAGAAAGUUUGCAGGCAUGUCUACCUCUUACUUCUGAGUUUCACUCUAGAUGUUUAAUUUUCACUGCUAUGUUGUUGUUUUUUUUUUUGAACUUCGGUGUAGCUAAGACUGCUAAACAGAUGAAAAAGAAAAAGGCACGCAACAGUUCCAAUGUCAGUUUUCAGUUCACUUGAAUAUUCUCAUUUGUUACUAUAUUUGUUGAUUAUUUCACUUCUCGAGAAGGAACACAGAGCUGCAAACUAGCUAGAUAUCAAGAGAACAGUUUUUGUCUUUCACUUUCUAAAACUGCAUAUUGUAACUCUGCUUAUGUUUGGACAAAGUAUGUUGCUAAAUGUAAAGGAACUGAAUUUUGCAAGAGACUGCCUGGAUAUGAUGACGAUAGAGCCACUUAAAUAGGAGCAAAGGCUCUGAAAGAGCACGAGAAGGUCAUUCUACUUGCCCCAUAUUGAUUUGGUCUUGCAACUGGAUCCCCGCUGGAGUGCUACUGAGAGGUAUGUUCUUUACUGUUCAUUAGAAUCUGUCGCCCAUACUUUUGGGUCAUCGAGAGCAGGCAGAACAAUGGGUGCACCUCCAUACUGCCAAGUCUCUGAAAAUAUCUAGCACUUCAUUUAAGUCAGGUGAUACCACCACCACAACUCACAAGAGAUUUACUGAGAAUCAGCAACAUAUAUUCCAAGUAAUUAGCGAUCACUUGAUUUCUUAUCUCAUAUAGUUCCUGAUACUCCACAAAAGAAGACACGAAAGAAUGAGCUGUAGGUUUUGUUUACUUAUUUAUUUGUUACAUAGAAGAUCAACUAAGAAAGGGGACAUGAAGAAACCAUUUGAAGUAUCCAUUGUAUAUUUCCUUUACGUGUAUAUUUCAAAUAUUACUCGAAUCAGAGUUACUUGGUACAAUCUUAAUUUACAUUAUCCAAAAGGAUUAAUUGUAAGUUUAUGAAGAACAUAUACUGUGUUUCUCA